UCCCUUUUCUUUGGCUCCUUUGCCUUUACUUAGAUGCAUUUGGUUUAAAAAUAUUUAUUGUCUAUUGUGUGUUAGAGACUAUGCAAGAUUCUAGGAAUACAGACAAGGAUCUACAAACCUCGAGGAGUCACAAGUAUCUGAGGAGACAAGGACGCCCUGUGUCACCAGCCAUGUCAUGAGUGCCUUGUAAGAAAACACUAUGGGUACCCUGUAAUAUUGAAGAAGCUAAAGGAGAGCUAAGGAACAAAAGUCACAAGACCGAAUUAACCACAAAUAAUUGCAUGCCAAAAGAAGCUGCUUUCUUCUUCCCUGAUCUUUAAAAGGCAUGCCUGAGGAAUAUUGUGGGUUCCAUUCCAGACCACCGCAGUAGAGGGAAUCACACAUUUUUCAGUUUCCCAGUUAUGAAAACAUACUGGUUCCCACAUUAAUUGGAAUGCUAUUCAGCCAUGUAAAAGAAUGAAAUUUUGCCAUCUGCAACA
Molecule: non-coding RNA, 479 nt
Organism: Odocoileus virginianus texanus
Lineage: Eukaryota; Metazoa; Chordata; Mammalia; Artiodactyla; Cervidae
Source: RefSeq, a predicted model, not a curated record